Molecule: ribosomal RNA, 564 nt
Filed under: Streptomyces sp. 387F06
Lineage: Bacteria; Bacillati; Actinomycetota; Actinomycetes; Kitasatosporales; Streptomycetaceae
Description: bacterial SSU rRNA
Rfam family: Bacterial small subunit ribosomal RNA
Source: RNAcentral
UAGUGGCGAACGGGUGAGUAACACGUGGGCAAUCUGCCCUGCACUCUGGGACAAGCCCUGGAAACGGGGUCUAAUACCGGAUAUGAGUCUCCCAGGCAUCUGGGGGGCUGGAAAGCUCCGGCGGUGCAGGAUGAGCCCGCGGCCUAUCAGCUUGUUGGUGAGGUAAUGGCUUACCAAGGCGACAGACGGGUAGCCGGCCUGAGAGGGCGACCGGNCACACUGGGACUGAGACACGGCCCAGACUCCUACGGGAGGCAGCAGUGGGGAAUAUUGCACAAUGGGCGAAAGCCUGAUGCAGCGACGCCGCGUGAGGGAUGACGGCCUUCGGGUUGUAAACCUCUUUCAGCAGGGAAGAAGCGUGAGUGACGGUACCUGCAGAAGAAGCGCCGGCUAACUACGUGCCAGCAGCCGCGGUAAUACGUAGGGCGCGAGCGUUGUCCGGAAUUAUUGGNCGUANAGAGCUCGUAGGCGGCUUGCCGCGUCGGUUGUGAAAGCCCGGGCUUAACCCCGGGUCUGCAGUCGAUACGGCCAGGCUAGAGUUCGGUAGGGGAGAUCGGAAUUCCU